This 428-nucleotide ribosomal RNA is filed under the name Bacteroidota bacterium. RNAcentral's name for it is "Bacteroidetes bacterium partial 16S ribosomal RNA". It matches the Rfam family "Bacterial small subunit ribosomal RNA", at positions 355 to 776 of the family's 1533-position model. Lineage: Bacteria; Pseudomonadati; Bacteroidota. The record is from RNAcentral.
UAGGGAAUCUUCCGCAAUGGGCGAAAGCUUGACGGAGCAACGCCGCGUGAGUGAUGAAGGUCUUCGGAUCGUAAAACUCUGUUAUUAGGGAAGAACAAAUGUGUAAGUAACUAUGCACGUCUUGACGGUACCUAAUCAGAAAGCCACGGCUAAAUACGUGCCAGCAGCCGCGGUAAUACGUAUGGAGCGAGCGUUGUCCGGAAUUAUUGGGCGUAAAGGGUACGCAGGCGGUUUAAUAAGUCGAAUGUUAAAGAUCGGGGCUCAACCCCGUAAAGCAUUGGAAACGGAUAAACUUGAGUAGUGGAGAGGAAAGUGGAAUUCCUAGUGUAGUGGUGAAAUACGUAGAUAUUAGGAGGAAUACCAGUAGCGAAGGCGACUUUCUGGACACAAACUGACGCUGAGGUACGAAAGCGUGGGGAGCAAACAGG